AUGUUCAGAGUAGGAUCACAUUUUGAAACAAAAGAAACUAUGGAUGUUACCCUUGCCCAACAAAAAUCCCGCACUUUCUAUGGAGACUGGCCCUGUAAGAAUGAAACUACAAAGCAGAGGAAUGGAAAUGGAUACAUGAUGGCCAUCAGCGCCUUGCACCGUGCUGUGCGCUCGACACAGCUACUCUUGUGGGCGCUCUACUUCUUCUUCCAAGCGGGCCAAGAAGCUCCGCGAUGUCUCCUUGCUGAUCCAGUUGCCUCUUCUUCCAAGCGGGCCAAGAAGCUCCGCGAUGUCUCCUUGCUGAUCCAGUUGCCUCUCAAGGGCACACCCAAAUAG
Molecule: ribosomal RNA, 336 nt
Filed under: Triticum aestivum (bread wheat)
Lineage: Eukaryota; Viridiplantae; Streptophyta; Magnoliopsida; Poales; Poaceae
Description: partial small subunit ribosomal RNA
Source: RNAcentral